This 292-nucleotide ribosomal RNA is filed under the name Methylobacterium sp. RNAcentral's name for it is "partial 16S ribosomal RNA". It matches the Rfam family "Bacterial small subunit ribosomal RNA", at positions 955 to 1247 of the family's 1533-position model. Lineage: Bacteria; Pseudomonadati; Pseudomonadota; Alphaproteobacteria; Hyphomicrobiales; Methylobacteriaceae. The record is from RNAcentral.
UCAUGAUUGUAACAACUUACCAUCCUUUGACAUGGCGUGUUACGUGGAGAGAUCCACGGUCUCCUUCGGGAGCGCGCACACAGGUGCUGCAUGGCUGUCGUCAGCUCGUGUCGUGAGAUGUUGGGUUAAGUCCCGCAACGAGCGCAACCCACGUCCUCAGUUGCCAUCAUUCAGUUGGGCACUCUGGGGAGACUGCCGGUGAUAAGCCGCGAGGAAGGUGUGGAUGACGUCAAGUCCUCAUGGCCCUUACGGGAUGGGCUACACACGUGCUACAAUGGCGGUGACAGUGGGA